CUACGUAGGUGACAAGCGUUAUCCGGAUUUACUGGGCGUAAAGGGCGUGUAGGCGGUCUUGCAAGUCAGAAGUGAAAUUCCUGAGCUCAACUCGGGCGCUGCUUCUGAAACUGCAGGACUUGAGUGCUGGAGGGGAUAGCGGAAUUCCUAGUGGAGCGGUAAAAUGCGCAGAUAUUAGGAAGAACACCGGUGGCGAAGGCGGCUAUCUGGACAGUAACUGACGCUGAGGCGCGAAAGCGUGGGGAGCAAACAGGAUUAGAUACCCUGGUAGUCCACGCCGUAAACGAUGAGUACUAGGUGUAGGGGGUAUCGACUCCCUCUGUGCCGCAGUUAACACAAUAAGUAUUCCGCCUGGGGAGUACGGCCGCAAGGUUGAAACUCAAAUGAAUUGACGGGG
This 397-nucleotide ribosomal RNA is filed under the name uncultured bacterium. Its description in RNAcentral is "partial 16S ribosomal RNA". It matches the Rfam family "Bacterial small subunit ribosomal RNA", at positions 523 to 918 of the family's 1533-position model. The record is from RNAcentral.